AAAUAUAUCUCAUUUAAAAAUUAAUGAAAAGAUUUGUCAUUUACAGUUGAUCAGGAGAGGUAAGAACAUACAUAUUGAUAUUUCUUCACCAUCAUACAUACGGAAGAGGAAAUGAGUUUGGGGUGAUUUAUAUAAUGAGCACAAUGCUGCGUCUGCAUGCAUAACAUUUUAUAAAAUUGGACGUUAAAAAAAAAGCUGCACACCACAUAAGGAAUAAGUUCCUAUAAAGCUUGGCAUUAAGGAGAAGCUGAGAGGGGUUAACUGGUUGUUCCAAUUCAGAUUUUGUUGGUGCAUUUGUUGAUAUCAAAUUCCACUCUGUAGGCAAAAUCUUAAAAUCAGAGCCCUCGUAGAAAACAGCCACCAUGGUGAAGAUAGAUAUUUAAGGGUUGGCAAUACCAAACAGACAGAACACUUCUUCCUUUUUCCUAUUUGUAAAUUAAAAAAAAAAUUAAACCCCGAACAGGCCAGAUGUGCUGGCUAAGUCAAAUAAAGGGUUUUGCAGGUUAAGCAAGUAGUUGAUUCAAUCUGAUAAUUUCUUAACACCAAACAAAUGUAUACCUGACCAGCACGACAAUAUACAUCACUUGGCCAGACACUGAUCACUCUAAUGACAGCAGAAACAACAGGAAAGGUUGGAACCAUUUGGACAGUCGUGACCAUGAUGAUUCAGGGGCUUGAAGAAGUAACAUCACUGAAGAAGAAUACACACACACACACACACACACACACACACAUACAUAAUACAGAGCUGCUGCUGGUGGUUCUGAGAUCACACUGUGAGAACCACUGGCCUCAAUUUUCGGCUUACUUUGCCGAACAAACAUAUAUACAUAUUUCACACAACCCUUUACUUAUGCAAAUUUAUUUUUGCUACACUUAUUAUAAGCUCCUCAAAUAUUUGUCUUUAACCAUUUACUACUGUAUUCCUAUAUAAAUCUGUUUCAGAAUACUCUAAAACUUUAUUUCAUGUCAUUGGAAUGGAAUUCUUAUUUUUAAAAAAGAUUUUAUUUAUUUAUUCAUGGGAGACACAGAGAGAGGCAGAGACAUAGGAAGAGGGAGGAGAAGCAGGCUCCAUGCAGAGACCCUGAUGUGGGACUUGAUUCCAGGAUUCUGGGAUUAUGCCCUGAGCCAAAGGCAGAUGCUUAACCGCUGAGCCACCCAGGCAUCCCUAAAUUAGAAUUCUUGAUGCUUUUUGACGAAGGCAGCUAUUUGUACCUCUUUCCCACUCUCUUGUCCUUUUAAAUCCCUAAUAUCUUAGUGACUUUUAGCUGAAACACAAGCAAAGGCUUUGGAGGGACUGGGUGCACUGGCAGAGAUCUGGUCUCUCUCACACCAAGCUGAAGUGAUAGCACAAAACAUAAAUAAGAGGAAGGGAAGCAGAGACUUGUGUUCAGUAAAGUUGUACCUCCAGAAAGUUUAAUAAUUAUCACCAACACUGGGCAACCAACAUCGAUCAGACAUUGAUUGGACAAUUUCACCUUUCACGAAGAGGAUACAUUCUAACUCUAACUCCUUGUGUUCUUUUGCUAACAUGAUUAGUAUUCCAUUUGUGUCAAAAUGUUACUUUACAAUAGGAAUGAUCUCAGCCUUCUCCGUGGCUCUCAGGAGCCAUUGCUGAGAGUCUCUUGGUAGAUGUGGUCCCUUGGUCCCCUGUCCAAGAGAACAGCACUGGGUAUCAGGACUAUGUAGCCAAUCAGUGGCAAUGUAAUAAAAUAAUUCCAGGUUCUAUAUUUUGAAAUUAGCUGACAGAGAAUUUGGCCUUUCCGUGGUGAAAGAUACACUUUGGCAAUGAAUUGGUGCCUAAAAUUCUACAAGUAGAACUUCAAUUCCUUCGGCUUUAGGCUUUUCCCCUGUUAUAAUGCAAGCGACCCUCACAAUGUCAAAGUAAAGGACUUCAUCCCUUUCCUGAGAGCACAUUUUUCUUAUUGAGGAGAACAAAACUAGGAGGCACUCAGAAGAGUUGUGCUGGGAAUCAAGGUCUGGGGCACAUGGAGUAGAAAGAGGAGAAAGGGGAUCUCAGUGGCAGGCCUCCAACUCAUUCACAAUUUUGGUGAAGGACUGACCCCCUGUCUGCAUCCCUAUUGAAAUGGGUGCUAGCUUGCCACCCGGAGCAGGUUGCUUGAAAAUUAACCAUGUUUUCUGAUAAUUUUGAAGACCCUUUAAUGUAUAGGCAUACAAAGGUUGAUAGCAAUGGAAGAAAAUAGAUGGUAAUAAAACAUUUGGAGCAACAGCAGAUAGGGAGCCAUCAGAGGAACCACACUUCUGCACAGGAAGAAGAUAAACUUGUAUUUGUAGAGUGCAGAGUUCAGGGCUGGGACAAGGGUAAGGCACCUGCUCAGCCCUGAGAGUGGGCACUUCAUUCACCUCACUCUGGUCUUGGCUCUGGCAGAUCAGAUUAAAGUGAAAGCUUACUAUUGUGUUAUAGACUUGGUGAGGAUGGAAGGCUGCACUGGUGAGGAACAGAGCCCUGGCCAUGAAAUCAUCUUUUUAGGGAUGAGUUUGUGAGCAAGAGGGCAGGUGCAUGGACACAUCUGCUCACACAGAUUAGGUACAGCGGGAUCACAAUCUGAUCUGUGUUGUCUAGAGAGUUGAAAUGGAUGUCCAGUGAAAUGCUCACUGUAAGCCUUGCAGAAUCUCCUCCAUCUCUGCACGUUCCAGGUAAUGCCUUUGGACCAACUGGUUGAUUUGUGGUCACUAGGCUAACUUGAACUAUUUAGCUGCCUGUGGUCCUGCCUCCUUAAAGGAUAAGCUGUAGGCUAGGCAUGCAGUUCAUGGGGGUUGGGGCUGCGAGACAAGUUGCGGCCAGGUGGGAGGCCCAGGCGAGAGAUGACGAAGGGGGAGGAGAAGAGGGACCAGCAAGACUUAUUGUACCAAGAAUGGCUUGCUCUCUACCCUCAACAUCUGAACCACAAAUAAGUAAUGAACACCCACUUAGAGCAAAGCACUCUUAGCUACCCAUUAACAAUCCUGGGGAUGACUCUCUCUACUUGUGACCAGAGUGAAAGUCAGUCUAGCAGAGCCACCUGCCACUAUUGGUUGGAAAACAGAGCAAACAGAGCAAAUAGAGGUAUAGAAACAACUUGAAUUGGAAGCUGACCUCCUAGGGCCAACUUCAUUUCACUUGAGCCUUCUGGGCUUUCACCUUC
This 3146-nucleotide long non-coding RNA is filed under the name Canis lupus familiaris (dog). RNAcentral's name for it is "lncRNA (ENSCAFG00000054358.1, ENSCAFG00805029417.1, ENSCAFG00845019910.1)". The record is from RNAcentral. Lineage: Eukaryota; Metazoa; Chordata; Mammalia; Carnivora; Canidae.